UACGUAGGGGGCGAGCGUUGUCCGGAAUCAUUGGGCGUAAAGCGCGCGUAGGUGGCCCCAUAAGUCCGCUGUGAAAGUCAAAGGCUCAACCUUUGAAAGCCGGUGGAUACUGUGGGACUAGAGUACGGAAGGGGCGAGUGGAAUUCCUGGUGUAGCGGUGGAAUGCGCAGAUAUCAGGAGGAACACCAAUAGCGAAGGCAGCUCGCUGGGACGUUACUGACACUGAGGCGCGAAAGCGUGGGGAGCGAACAGG
RNAcentral lists this ribosomal RNA (253 nucleotides) under uncultured bacterium. RNAcentral describes it as "partial 16S ribosomal RNA". It matches the Rfam family "Bacterial small subunit ribosomal RNA", at positions 524 to 776 of the family's 1533-position model. The record is from RNAcentral.